This 217-nucleotide small nucleolar RNA is filed under the name Neogobius melanostomus (round goby). RNAcentral describes it as "Small nucleolar RNA U3 (ENSNMLG00000010960.1)". It matches the Rfam family "Small nucleolar RNA U3". Rfam says of the family: Small nucleolar RNAs (snoRNAs) are involved in the processing and modification of rRNA in the nucleolus. The record is from Rfam by way of RNAcentral. Lineage: Eukaryota; Metazoa; Chordata; Actinopteri; Gobiiformes; Gobiidae.
AAGACUGUACUUUAGGGUCAUUUCUAUAGUUUGUGACUUGAGAAAUGUUUUCUAAAGUGUUGGUCCGCUGCCCCCACGAUGAACGGUUGAUGAUGCCUUCCUUCUUGAACAUGGAAGAAAGUAGAGAUUGGUUCCAUCCAUGUUCUCUGCUACUUGAUGACUGUUCACCUGUUUCUUCAAUUAACAGUUAUGAAGAAAGGAGUAUGAUCUGAGUUGG